GGGGAUAUAGCUCAGUGGUAGAGCGCUUGCCUAGGAAGCGCAAGGCCCUGGGUUCGGUCCCCAGUUCCG
Molecule: transfer RNA, 69 nt
Filed under: Rattus norvegicus (Norway rat)
Lineage: Eukaryota; Metazoa; Chordata; Mammalia; Rodentia; Muridae
Rfam family: tRNA
About the family: Transfer RNA (tRNA) molecules are approximately 80 nucleotides in length. Their secondary structure includes four short double-helical elements and three loops (D, anti-codon, and T loops).
Source: Rfam by way of RNAcentral